Molecule: non-coding RNA, 932 nt
Filed under: Typhlosyrinx sp. MNHN IM 2013-18371
Lineage: Eukaryota; Metazoa; Mollusca; Gastropoda; Neogastropoda; Raphitomidae
Source: RNAcentral
UCUUUAAAUAUUUAAAUUGGUUAUAAGAUGAUAAUUAAAUUAUAGUAACCAAGUUAUAACUUAUCUGAGUAAACUUGGCUCUAAUUUUAAAAUAUAACAAUAAUAAAAUUAAACACAUGGCUUUUAUAGAAAUAGGUAAGUAAGAGUAAAUAGUAUUAGAUAUAAAAAAUAUCUAAUUCUAUAUACUCUAUAAUAUUAUAGUUUUAAAUGAUAUUAAAUAUUAUUACUAACACCAGUGUUGAAGAUUAAUAUAAUAACGAAAGUUUGUAUUAUUUAAAUUAAGAAGCUUGGUUAAUUAUGGUGCCAGCAUCCGCGGUUAAACCAGUAAGUUAAGUUAUAUAUCUUGGUAAAAAGACAGUUAGACAAAAUUUAGUUUAUCGAUUUUCUAUAUAAAAGUAAAAUUUAAUAUAGGUAUAAUAGUAUAAUAAUAACUUCAUUGUUGAAGCUGUGAUAUCUUUAAGGGAAACUGGGAUUGGAUACCCCAUUAUUUCUAGAAGUAAAUAAAGAAAUUUACCAGAGUACUACAAAUAAAAUAAUUUAAAACUCAAAGAGCUUGGCGGUAUUUUAGACCACUUAGGGGAACCUGUCUUAUAAUCGACAAUCCACGUUAAACCUUACCUUUUUUAGUAAACAACUUGUAUACCGUUGUCAUCAGGUAACUUUUAAAGAAAAAAGAAGUUAGCUAAGAAACAUAUUUGAGUUAGGAUGUCAAAUCAAGGUGCAGUUUAUAAAAAGGAAAAGAUGGGUUACAAUUAUAAAUUAUAAUACGAAUAUGCAUAUUGUAAAAAGCUUGAAGGAGGACUUAAAAGUAAAUUUUUUAUAUAAAAAUAAUUUGAACAAGGCUCUAAAAUGUGCACAAAUCGCCCGUCGCUCUCGUUGAAAAAUGAGAUAAGUCGUAACAUAGUAGGGGUAAUGGAAAUUGCCCCUAAAUU